RNAcentral lists this ribosomal RNA (695 nucleotides) under uncultured bacterium. RNAcentral describes it as "bacterial SSU rRNA". It matches the Rfam family "Bacterial small subunit ribosomal RNA", at positions 1 to 683 of the family's 1533-position model. The record is from RNAcentral.
CGGCCGCGGGANNUCGAUUAGAGUUUGAUUAUGGCUCAGGACUAACGCUGGCGGCGUGCCUAACACAUGCAAGUCGAACGAGAAAGCGGUAGCAAUAUCGUGAGUAAAGUGGCGAACGGGUGAGUAACACGUAACCAAUCUGCCUUGAAAUGGAGGAAAACUGAGGGAAACUUUAGCUAACCCCCCAUAAUGUGAUUUUGACGCAUGUCGAGAUCAUUAAAAAUUUAUUGUUUCAAGAAGAGGUUGCGUCUGAUUAGCUAGUUGGCGGGGUAAUGGCCCACCAAGGCUACGAUCAGUAGCUGGUCUGAGAGGAUGAUCAGCCACACUGGGACUGAGAUACGGCCCAGACUCCUACGGGGGGCAGCAGUGAGGAAUAUUGCGCAAUGGGCGAAAGCCUGACGCAGCAACGCCGCGUGUAGGAUGAAAUCCUUCGGGAUGUAAACUACUGUUAGAGGGGAAGAAAUCUCGGUUACGCCGAGAGUGACGGUACCCUCAGAGAAAGCCACGGCUAACUCUGUGCCAGCAGCCGCGGUAAUACAGGGGUGGCAAGCGUUGUCCGGAAUUACUGGGUGUAAAGGGUGCGUAGGCGGAUCGGUAAGUCAGUGGUCAAAUCCUAUAGCUUAACUAUAGACUAUCCAUUGAUACUGUUGAUCUUGAGUGCGAGAGAGAUGAGUGGAAUUCCAAGUGUAGCGGUG